This 4371-nucleotide long non-coding RNA is filed under the name Trifolium pratense (red clover). Its description in RNAcentral is "long non-coding RNA (TPRA_LNC002336)". Lineage: Eukaryota; Viridiplantae; Streptophyta; Magnoliopsida; Fabales; Fabaceae. The record is from RNAcentral.
CUUAGUUAAAUCAACACAAUUCAAUCACCUAUUUCUUAAUCUCCAAGAAACAAGACCAUGAUUCUUAAAAGCGAGUAACCAAUUGAGAAUCUAUUUCUAAACAAAUAGAUAUUCAACCCUUUUUUUUGAAUCUAUCUCAAUUACAUUCAUAGCCUCAAUGAGCUCUACAUAAAAAGCAAUAGAUAUGUGUAAGUUUUGAGUUAUCUUUGAAAAUAUAGCACCAUAUGUUGUUGGUCCAGGGUAUAACCCUUUGUUGUGUAAUUUGCAUUGCACUUGAUCUAGGAAACGAUGAGAGGAUUCCAUAUAACCUCUCUAAUAUGAGGAGCUUUAGGAGAAGGAUUUAAAAUAGAAAAGGCUUUAAGAAUCACAAAUUCAAGCAUAGAGGAGAAAAGAAGUCCCUACAUAGUGGUUGACAGUAAGAAAAUUAUUUGAUUUACCAAAAAUGUGUUAAAUAGCCAAUCAUAUUAAUUCGUCAUACAAACGAGAUGAUUUCUCUCACUACAUUCAGCAUAUAUCAAACUUGUUUGGAUCCUCUCCUUCGAUCACUUUUGAUUUUUUUUUACUAUCUUUUACUAUUGUUUUUAUCUCUUACAUUUUCUCUCUCUUCUUUUUAUUUCUUUUUAUUUUUUGGUUUUUUUUUUCCUCCUCUUACACUUAUCUUUUUUAAAGAAGAUGGAAGGAUAAAAGAAUAAGGUUAAAGUCCAUAUCAAGACAAUAGUUAAUUACUUUGAAACAAAUAUAUAGAAAACCAAAGAGAUAAAGAGGAUCUAAAUUACGGUACGAUAUCACACCACACUCACUAAUGUUUUUUUUGUCAACUAGUUUAAUGACGAUAAAUUUCACCGUUAAAGUGAACAAGAUUGGUGUAUAGAAUUCGAAUUUUGACCCCUACAUAUAUAAUAUGAUUUCUCUGUCAAAUAAGUUAAACUCACGGGAACUGGCGCUCACUAACGUUUUCAAAGAUGCAUAUUUUACAAAAUUGGUCAUUGGAUGAAAUAUUUAUAACAUAUUAUAGAUGAUCUCUACAAUUUGUUGCAUAAAUAUAAAAAUAAUUUAUUAUGUUUGUAAAGUGCGUUAAAAUCAUCUUGUCAAGAUAACUCGGUUGAUAUUAAGUACAUUAUUGAAGAGGUCGGUUUCGAUCUCCAAAUUUUUUCACUUCCACAAAAUUGGUGAUUAAAUUUUACAAAAUUGGUCAUUGUAUGUAAUUUNNNNNNNNNNNNNNNNNNNNNNNNNNNNNNNNNNNNNNNNNNNNNNNNNNNNNNNNNNNNNAAUUUAUUUUUUUGUCAAGUGCCCAUAAUGUGGUUAGUAGAUCCCUUUAAUUAAUUUUGUAAAAUAAUUUAUUGGUACUUUUAGCAAAUUAGCUGGGGCCUAGGUUCAAUAAUCAUGACUAUUGGGCCUUUUCCUAUUUCUUGUCUCGCCCAACAACAUACUGAGCCCAUUAAUUUGCAACUUACACGCCUUAGGGGAAUGUUAACUAACUACAUCCCACAUACUGGUUACAUUUUAUAUCUCCAUCCCUUGCUACAUUAGAUAAUUACAACCCUUUGACUUCAAUAGUUGAAAGUUAAGAACAAGUUUAUAAUAAAAGGUAAAAGAUAAGAAAUAUUUACCUUCUCGAGUAGAAAUCUUCAACUAAUAUUUACCUUUCGUCAAAAAAAAAAAAAGAAAUUAAUAUUUACCUUCUUUAUAUUUGAGACAUGGGGCAUGCUGACAAAUGAAAAGUUACAUGUGCAAAGACUUUAAUUUAUUUUUUUGACAGUAUGCAAAGACUUUAAUUUAAACCAAGUUGAGUCUCAGAUAUUUUCUUCAUCACAACAUAAAAUAUCUACUAUAUAAGAAAAGAAAGUACAUAUGAAAUUCCUAAUUUGCCCCUUUUUCAUUUUUUGACACAUAAUCAAUUCAGGGUUAUUUUGUGUCUUUAUUAAAAAAAGUUAGUAGAAAAAUGCUAAAAAAUUUCUUAGUAGGAAUUGAAGCCUUAACCUUUUAGUUACACUUCUUAUUAGAUUUACCACUAAGCCAUAUGAAUUAAUUUGUUAUAUUUUUGGAACCAACAUAUAAUCAACAUGAGUUAAGUUAAAAGAAAAAAGGGGAAGUGUUUAUUUAUUUUUUUCUUUUGGUUUUUUUUUUACAAUAUAGAGGUACAUGGUAUUGUUUCCAUUUAUUUAUGAUAUUUUAUUUGAGUCCAACCCUUUCUUUAGUGUAAUUUUAUCAUUUAUUGUUUAUGUUUCGUUAUUUUAGAUUCACUCAACUUGAUUUAUGGACUUCAAUCCAAUAUUUAAUUAAGUUAAUUUUUAAUUUGUAGUUCAACUCAAUAAAUUUAAUUAAUUUAAUACAAGAAUCUACUAUAUAAGAAAAGAAAGUACAUAUGAAAUUCCUAAUUUGCCCCUUUUUCAUUUUUUGACACAUAAUCAAUUCAGAGUUAUUUUGUGCCUUUAUUAAAAGAAGUUAGUAGAAAAAUGCUAAAAAAUUUCUUAGUAGGAAUUGAACCCUUAACCUUUUAGUUACACUUCUUAUUAGAUUUACCACUNNNNNNNNNNNNNNNNNNNNNNNNNNNNNNNNNNNNNNNNNNNNNNNNNNNNNNNNNNNNNNNNNNNNNNNNNNNNNNNNNNNNNNNNNNNNNNNNNNNNNNNNNNNNNNNNNNNNNNNNNNNNNNNNNNNNNNNNNNNNCCAAAUAUUAUAUCAUUUCAUCUUACCAAGUGAGGAGCGGCAACGCCGCGACUCCCGUGCGAACGCACGGGUGUCCUGCUAGUUGUUUUUUUAAAACAAAACAAGUCCCGCAACACAGAGACUUAUUUGGAAGGACAUCAUUUUGAUUUUUCUCCCUUUUUUAUUAUUAUUUUUCUAUUUUAUAAUUAUUUUUUAGAAACUUUGUAAAAAGGCUCAAAAACUCUAUUUCCAUUCUUAAUUUAAAUUUUGAUGGUUGUUCUUCGCCUCCUCUAAAUUGAUCAGAAUCUCCCUCAUGUCCCCGGUCCCCCCAUCUAAGGAAGAUAUUUUCUAUAGUACAAAUCUUAUUGGGAGAAAUCUUCUGACAAUAUAAAUCUUAGCGAAAAAUAUCUUUUAGUAUUGUGUUUUCUAGUGUGAGUCAUUUCGGGACGGAGAACAAUCAUCUUUAAUUUAAGGCUUAAUUAGUCUUUUGGUCCCUUAAAGAUAUUUUAGGUUUCACAAUGGUCCCUUAAAGAAAAAAAGGUCAGGAUUGGUCCCUUAAAGACACAUCCGUUUCUCAAUUGGUCCUUUCCGUCAAUUUUUUACAAAAAACGUUAGUUUUAGUAGACUGAAUUGUGGAUGUCAUUAAGUGUAAGUGGUCCACCAAANNNNNNNNNNNNUUUAAGGGACCAUUGUAAAACCUAAAAUGUCUUUAAGGGACCAAUAGACUAAUUAAGCCUUAAUUUAAAUAAACUCUUUGGUUUACAACAAAUGGACGGGGAGAAAAAAUACGUUUCAAAGGCCCAACAAGAAAAAAAAAGUUUUUGAUCUAUUGGACUCAAAUGGCCCAUCUUGCUCAUUGAAACAAACAAAAGAGAAAAUUGCUCUUCUGACCCCAUAUCUUGCUCAAAUAACCCAUAAAGAUUCAAAGAUAAGAAGAUGGUGCGGUGGUACCGGUUCUGCUAAAGUUUCUGCAUUUCGAAUCUUAUAUUCCGAAGAUGUUUUGACUUCGGAUCGUAUAAUACAAAGUCCAAAAUCAGGGGUAUUAUUGUAUUUAUGGGGGGUCUGAGAGUACUAUGCGAGGCCUAAAGAGCAAUUUUCCAAACAUAGCAAGAUGGUCAGAUUUUGGAUAUUAAAAAAAUCACCACUUUUUGGUUAAAAAUCAGUAUUUUUUUUUUGACAAGUUAAAAAUCAUUAUUUUAAAAUAUAAAAAAUGUAUGAAAUUUAUGAGACCAGAGACCAAAAUUUCUAAAUGACUUACUUUUGUAGACCAGGCCUAGAUUCAUGCUCAUUUGUUAUGCUUGACUCAAUAAUUAAGGUCUUAAUCGGUUCACUUUGAGGGCUCAUCAUUCCCUCAAAUCCCAACUGGCAGAAACAUCUUCAUCCGUCAUAAAACUUACCUUGAUUCUCCAUGCCAUUGAUGGGGAUCUCAAAGCAUCUCCCUCUCAUCAAUGAAAGAGACUUUAUGUUUGGCCUAUAAUUACCCUUUUCAUCACGAGCAGCCUAUAUAUAAACAUCGCGCGUGCCUCGUGCAAUAAGCAGUCGCUCCCAAACAUUAACCGGCUCGGUUUGCGCCUCGCGCAAUGGAACAAGCGCAGACCACGCCUAGCGCAGAACCUAAUGCGCCUAGCGCAGGGACCAAUCUUGGAACCUGUUUUUCUGAACUCGAGAUUUCAAAGCAAUUAUAACAAUUCACUUAUAAAAAUUUUAAAUAGAGAACUAAAAAAC